CAAGUCGUAACACGGUAAGUGUACCGGAAGGUGCACUUGGAUCAAACCCAGGGUGUGGCUGAGUUAGUUAAGCAUCUCACUUACACCGAGAAGACAUCCAUGCAAGUUGGAUCACCCUGAGCCAAACAGCUAGCUUACCCACCAAAAUUAACCAAACAGUAUAAAUAAAAUAAAAUAGACAAAACACCAAAAACUAAACCAUUCUUUUACCUGAGUAUGGGAGACAGAAAAGGUUCAACCAAAGCAAUAGAAACAGUACCGCAAGGGAAAGCUGAAAGAGAAAUGAAACAACCCAUAUAAGCACAAAAAAGCAAAGAUUAAAUCUUGUACCUUUUGCAUCAUGAUUUAGCCAGUAAACCCAAGCAAAGAGACCUUUAGUUUGAAACCCCGAAACCAGGUGAGCUACCCCGAGACAGCCUAUUUAGGGCCAACCCGUCUCUGUGGCAAAAGAGUGGGAAGAGCUCCGGGUAGAAGUGACAGACCUACCGAACCUGGUGAUAGCUGGUUGCCUAGGAAACGAAUAGAAGUUCAGCCUCGUACACCUUAAAUCAAACAGACACAUAAACAAGAUAUCAAGAGAAAUACACGAGAGUUAGUUAAAGGGGGUACAGCCCCUUUAACAAAGGAUACAACCUUAUCAGGAGGAUAAAGAUCAUAAUAUAUAAAACAUACUGUUCUAGUGGGCCUAAAAGCAGCCAUCUAAACAGAAAGCGUA
This 715-nucleotide ribosomal RNA is filed under the name Labeo chrysophekadion (black sharkminnow). Its description in RNAcentral is "partial 16S ribosomal RNA". The stretch from base 309 to 715 matches the Rfam family "Bacterial large subunit ribosomal RNA", at positions 568 to 1136 of the family's 2925-position model. Lineage: Eukaryota; Metazoa; Chordata; Actinopteri; Cypriniformes; Cyprinidae. The record is from RNAcentral.